AUUCCAGCUCCAAUAGCGUAUAUUAAAGUUGUUGCAGUUAAAAAGCUCGUAGUUGGAUUUCUGGUGGGGACGUUUGGCCGGCCGUAACGGUUUGCGCUGAAAUGUUCUUCGCCAUCCUUGACGAAUACUGGUUCGCCAUUAAGUUGUGUGGGCUUGGAGUCGUCAUCGUUUACUGUGAAAAAAUUAGAGUGUUCAAAGCAGGCUUAUGCCGUUGAAUACAUUAGCAUGGAAUAAUAAGAUAGGACCCUGGUACUAUUUUGUAGGUUUGCGUACCUAGGUAAUGAUUAAUAGGGACAGUUGGGGGUAUUUGUAUUCCGUUGUCAGAGGUGAAAUUCUUGGAUUUACGGAAGACAAACUACUGCGAAAGCAUUUACCAAGGAUGUUUUCAUCG
This 391-nucleotide ribosomal RNA is filed under the name Triparma sp. Its description in RNAcentral is "partial small subunit ribosomal RNA". It matches the Rfam family "Eukaryotic small subunit ribosomal RNA", at positions 582 to 975 of the family's 1831-position model. Lineage: Eukaryota; Bolidophyceae; Parmales; Triparmaceae. The record is from RNAcentral.